Populus euphratica (Euphrates poplar) is the source of this 495-nucleotide long non-coding RNA. RefSeq lists it as uncharacterized. Lineage: Eukaryota; Viridiplantae; Streptophyta; Magnoliopsida; Malpighiales; Salicaceae. The record is from RefSeq and is a predicted model, not a curated record. The transcript is spliced from 2 exons.
CAAUUUUGAUUAUAAGUUUCUGCAGAUCUUCUAUGCCAGCCUCAGUUUGGCUUGUUCAUAUCGGGAUUCCAUAGAAUCAAUCCAAUUUUGAUACUGAAUUGUUGCCAUUCAGAAUAAUGAAAGGUGUUCAAGUAACACAGCACAAUAAUUUGAAUAUUCAGUUCAUUGACCAUGAUCAUACAUCCAUUUCUUUGCCAAGAAAAAAACAAAAAGCAGGUCAGUUGUAUCUUUAGUUCUGUACCGUACAGAAAUCAAUAGGAAAUCGCCUUACUCUUGUGCCCUAUUUUAUACAGUUCUUGCUCUGCACAACGCAUCGUUUCUCGGUCUCAAAACCAAGUUUAUCUAGCCAUGAAUACCAAUUUGCUGGAACGCAGUCCUAACAUUUUUGCUGUCAGCAUAAAGCUUGUGAAGCCUUUUGUGGUGAUUACGUGCUGGAUACCUUUUUUUUGGGGUGCUGAAACAAGGUUUAAAUACGAGUGAUUGAAAUUGAAUUAU